This 236-nucleotide long non-coding RNA is filed under the name Mytilus galloprovincialis (Mediterranean mussel). Lineage: Eukaryota; Metazoa; Mollusca; Bivalvia; Mytilida; Mytilidae. The record is from RNAcentral.
GGGGGUUGAAAUUUUUCUCAUUUCAAAUUUCAUAAAUGAAAAGAAAAUUUCUUCAAACAAUUUUUUUGAGAGGAUUAAUAUUCAACAGCAUAGUGAAUUGCUCAAAGGCAAAAAAAAUAUUUUAAGUUCAUUAGACCACAUUCAUUCUGUGUCAACUAUUUAAUCACAAUCCAAAUUUAGAGCUGAAUCCAGCUUGAAUGUUGUGUCCAUACUUGCCCAAACCAUUCAGGGUUCAA